UAGGGAAUCUUCCGCAAUGGACGCAAGUCUGACGGAGCAACGCCGCGUGAGUGAAGAAGGAUUUCGGUUCGUAAAACUCUGUUGUUAGAGAAGAACAGCGCAUAGAGUAACUGUUAUGCGUGUGACGGUAUCUAACCAGAAAGCCACGGCUAACUACGUGCCAGCAGCCGCGGUAAUACGUAGGUGGCAAGCGUUGUCCGGAUUUAUUGGGCGUAAAGCGAGCGCAGGCGGUCAAUUAAGUCUGAUGUGAAAGCCCCCGGCUCAACAGGGGAGGGUCAUUGGAAACUGGUUGACUUGAGUGCAGAAGAGGAGAGUGGAAUUCCAUGUGUAGCGGUGAAAUGCGUAGAUAUAUGGAGGAACACCAGUGGCGAAGGCGACUCUCUGGUAUGUAACUGACGCUGAGGCUCGAAAGCGUGGGUAGCAAACAGG
RNAcentral lists this ribosomal RNA (429 nucleotides) under Bacteroidota bacterium. RNAcentral's name for it is "Bacteroidetes bacterium partial 16S ribosomal RNA". It matches the Rfam family "Bacterial small subunit ribosomal RNA", at positions 355 to 776 of the family's 1533-position model. The record is from RNAcentral. Lineage: Bacteria; Pseudomonadati; Bacteroidota.